AGUUGGUUAGAGCGCGCGCUUGAUAAGCGUGAGGUCGGAAGUUCAAGUCUUCCCAGGCCCACCAUUUUGAUCGAGUGCGGAGCAUUCGUCUUCUGGUACGGGGCCAUAGCUCAGCUGGGAGAGCGCGUGCUUUGCAAGCAUGAGGUCGUCGGUUCGAUCCCGUCUGGCUCCACCAGAUGGAAUUGAAGCUCGACAGUGCCUCGUUCAUUUCGUCCGCGAAACAUCACUUCGCACUCAUUGGUCCGGAUGGACGGUGACGUGCGUGUUUUCUGACAUCGUAAAGAGGAGAUCGAUCCGAGUUUGGAUCAAGCGAAGCAAUUCGCCUGAGCCAUUCAUUAUCUCCGGGAUCAUUUCGGCGCUCGCUUCAAUCGUGAGAUUGGAUGCGGGUUGUAAAUGAUCCCUUUUAGCGAAGCUUGACCGCCUCGCUAUCGGGCCGAUCUUACGAAGCAAGCUGGUCUUUCUAGUCAAUGUCCGGCUGCGCAAUCGCAUUCAUCGAGGAUGCGUGCCUUCAAUGGCAGUUGUGCAGACAACAUUCUGCCGAGUGUGUGGACAUUGAUAAUGAGAGCAAUCAAGUGCCUUAAGGGUGUUCGGUGGAUGCCUUGGCGCUGAGAGGCGAUGAAGGACGUGCUACGCUGCGAUAAGCCGUGGGGAGCUGCGAAGAAGCUUUGAUCCGCGGAUUUCCGAAUGGGG
RNAcentral lists this unclassified non-coding RNA (690 nucleotides) under Bradyrhizobium sp. STM 3114. RNAcentral's name for it is "partial 16S-23S ribosomal RNA intergenic spacer". The stretch from base 567 to 690 matches the Rfam family "Bacterial large subunit ribosomal RNA", at positions 1 to 123 of the family's 2925-position model. Lineage: Bacteria; Pseudomonadati; Pseudomonadota; Alphaproteobacteria; Hyphomicrobiales; Nitrobacteraceae. The record is from RNAcentral.